This 502-nucleotide ribosomal RNA is filed under the name uncultured bacterium. RNAcentral's name for it is "partial 16S ribosomal RNA". It matches the Rfam family "Bacterial small subunit ribosomal RNA", at positions 28 to 523 of the family's 1533-position model. The record is from RNAcentral.
GAUGAACGCCAGCGGCAGGCCUAACACAUGCAAGUCGAGGGGCAGCACAGAAACAGCAAUGUUUUGGUGGCGACCGGCGGACGGGUGCGUAACGCGUAUGCAACCUACCUUUAACAGGGGGAUAACGGAGAGAAAUUUCCACUAAUACCCCAUAACAUCUAUCAAGGCAUCUUGAUUGGUUGAAAACUCCGGUGGUUAAAGAUGGGCAUGCGUUGUAUUAGGUAGUUGGUGAGGUAAUGGCUCACCAAGCCUACGAUACAUAGGGGGACUGAGAGGUUAGCACCCCACACUGGUACUGAGCCACGGACCAGACUCCUACGGGAGGCAGCAGUGAGGAAUAUUGGUCAAUGGGGGCAACCCUGAACCAGCCAUGCCGCGUGCAGGAAGACGGCUCUAUGAGUUGUAAACUGCUUUUAAACAGGGAUAAAGCACAGUAUGUAUACUGUGUUGAAGGUACUGUAAGAAUAAGGAUCGGCUAACUCCGUGCCAGCCGCCGCCGUAA